RNAcentral lists this ribosomal RNA (358 nucleotides) under Aulosira laxa K103. RNAcentral's name for it is "bacterial SSU rRNA". It matches the Rfam family "Bacterial small subunit ribosomal RNA", at positions 369 to 744 of the family's 1533-position model. Lineage: Bacteria; Bacillati; Cyanobacteriota; Cyanophyceae; Nostocales; Fortieaceae. The record is from RNAcentral.
CAAUGGGCGAAAGCCUGACGGAGCAAUACCGCGUGAGGGAGGAAGGCUCUUGGGUUGUAAACCUCUUUUCUCAGGGAAGAAAAAAAUGACGGUACCUGAGGAAUAAGCAUCGGCUAACUCCGUGCCAGCAGCCGCGGUAAUACGGAGGCAAGCGUUAUCCGGAAUGAUUGGGCGUAAAGCGUCCGCAGGUGGCGAUGAAAGUCUGCUGUUAAAGAGUGAGGCUCAACCUCAUAAAAGCAGUGGAAACUACAUAGCUAGAGUACGUUCGGGGCAGAGGGAAUUCCUGGUGUAGCGGUGAAAUGCGUAGAGAUCAGGAAGAACACCGGUGGCGAAAGCGCUCUGCUAGGCCUGUACUGAC